RNAcentral lists this ribosomal RNA (247 nucleotides) under Clostridioides difficile. RNAcentral's name for it is "partial 23S ribosomal RNA". It matches the Rfam family "Bacterial large subunit ribosomal RNA", at positions 963 to 1209 of the family's 2925-position model. Lineage: Bacteria; Bacillati; Bacillota; Clostridia; Peptostreptococcales; Peptostreptococcaceae. The record is from RNAcentral.
CCGUCAUCUUAUACUUGGGAGUCAGACUGUGGGUGAUAAGAUUCAUAGUCGAAAGGGCAACAGCCCAGAUCGUCAGCUAAGGUCCCUAAAUGUAAGUUAAGGGGUAAAGGAUGUGGGAUUGCACAGACAACCAGGAUGUUGGCUUAGAAGCAGCCACUCAUUCAAAGAGGGCGUAAUAGCUCACUGGUCGAGUGAUCCUGCGCCGAAGAUUUCCGGGGCUAAAACUUACUACCGAAGCUACGGCAUC